GGGCCGUUAGCUCAGCUGGGAGAGCGCUUGAAUGGCAUUCAAGAGGUCAGCGGUUCGAUCCCGCUACGGUCCA
This 73-nucleotide transfer RNA is filed under the name Bacteroidota bacterium. RNAcentral describes it as "tRNA-Ala". It matches the Rfam family "tRNA". From Rfam's summary of the family: Transfer RNA (tRNA) molecules are approximately 80 nucleotides in length. Their secondary structure includes four short double-helical elements and three loops (D, anti-codon, and T loops). Further hydrogen bonds mediate the characteristic L-shaped molecular structure. tRNAs have two regions of fundamental functional importance: the anti-codon, which is responsible for specific mRNA codon recognition, and the 3' end, to which the tRNAs corresponding amino acid is attached (by aminoacyl-tRNA synthetases). tRNAs cope with the degeneracy of the genetic code in two manners: having more than one tRNA (with a specific anti-codon) for a particular amino acid; and 'wobble' base-pairing, i.e. permitting non-standard base-pairing at the 3rd anti-codon position. Lineage: Bacteria; Pseudomonadati; Bacteroidota. RNAcentral also lists the same sequence under 4 other names. The record is from RNAcentral.